This 440-nucleotide ribosomal RNA is filed under the name uncultured bacterium. RNAcentral's name for it is "bacterial SSU rRNA". It matches the Rfam family "Bacterial small subunit ribosomal RNA", at positions 8 to 448 of the family's 1533-position model. The record is from RNAcentral.
AGAGUUUGAUCCUGGCUCAGAUUGAACGCUGGCGGCGUGCCUAACACAUGCAAGUCGAGCGGUAACAGGUGUAGCAAUACAUGCUGACGAGCGGCGAACGGGUGAGUAAUGCUUCGGAAUCUACCCUAUGGUGGGGAAUAACCAGCCGAAAGGUUGGCUAAUACCGCAUACGUCCUACGGGAGAAAGCAGGGGAUCGUAAGACCUUGCGCCGAUGGAUGAGCCGAAGUCGGAUUAGCUAGUUGGUGAGGUAACGGCUCACCAAGGCGACGAUCCGUAGCUGGUCUGAGAGGACGACCAGCCACACUGGGACUGAGACACGGCCCAGACUCCUACGGGAGGCAGCAGUGGGGAAUAUUGGACAAUGGGGGCAACCCUGAUCCAACGACGCCGCGUGUGUGAAGAAGGCCUGCGGGUUGUAAAGCACUUUUAGUGGGGAUGA